UACAGAGGUCCCAAGCGUUGUUCGGAUUCACUGGGCGUAAAGGGUGCGUAGGCGGUCGGGUAAGUCUGACGUGAAAUCUUCAAGCUUAACUUGGAAACUGCGUCGGAUACUAUUCGGCUGGAGGAAUGGAGGGGAGACUGGAAUACUUGGUGUAGCAGUGAAAUGCGUAGAUAUCAAGUGGAACACCAGUGGCGAAGGCGAGUCUCUGGACAUUUCCUGACGCUGAGGCACGAAAGCCGGGGGAGCAAACAGG
Molecule: ribosomal RNA, 253 nt
Filed under: uncultured bacterium
Lineage: Bacteria
Description: partial 16S ribosomal RNA
Rfam family: Bacterial small subunit ribosomal RNA
Source: RNAcentral